GUUUGAUCAUGGCUCAGAACGUACGCUGGCGGCACGCCUAACACAUGCAAGUCGAACGAAGUAGCAAUACUUAGUGGCAGACGGGUGAGUAACAUGUAGGUAUCUGCCCUUUGGCCUGGAAUAACACGAGGAAACUUGUGCUAAUACCGGAUAAGUCUUUACGGAGAAAGCUUUAUGCACCAUUGGAUGAGCCUGCACUUGAUUAGUUUGUUGGUGGGGUAAUGGCCUACCAAGACUGUGAUCAAUAGCUGAUUUGAGAGGAUGAUCAGCCACAUUGGGACUGAGACACGGCCCAAACUCCUACGGGAGGCAGCAGUGGGGAAUCUUGCACAAUGGAGGAAACUCUGAUGCAGCGAUGCCGCGUGAGUGAAGAAGGCCUUUGGGUUGUAAAGCUCUUUCGUCGGGGAAGAAAAUGACUGUACCCGAAUAAGAAGGUCCGGCUAACUUCGUGCCAGCAGCCGCGGUAAUACGAAGGGACCUAGCGUAGUUCGGAAUUACUGGGCUUAAAGAGUUCGUAGGUGGUUGAAAAAGUUGGUGGUGAAAUCCCAGAGCUUAACUCUGGAACUGCCAUCAAAACUUUUCAGCUAGAGUAUGAUAGAGGAAAGCAGAAUUUCUAGUGUAGAGGUGAAAUUCGUAGAUAUUAGAAAGAAUACCAAUUGCGAAGGCAGCUUUCUGGAUCAUUACUGACACUGAGGAACGAAAGCAUGGGUAGCGAAGAGGAUUAGAUACCCUCGUAGUCCAUGCCGUAAACGAUGUGUGUUAGACGUUGGAAAUUUAUUUUCAGUGUCGCAGCAAAAGCGAUAAACACACCGCCUGGGGAGUACGACCGCAAGGUUAAAACUCAAAUGAAUUGACGGGGACCCGCACAAGUAGUGGAGCAUGUGGUUUAAUUCGAAGAUACGCGCAGAACCUUACCAACACUUGACAUGUUCGUCGCGACUUUAAGAGAUUAAAGUUUUCGGUUCGGCCGGACGAAACACAGGUGCUGCAUGGCUGUCGUCAGCUCGUGUCGUGAGAUGUUGGGUUAAGUCCCGCAACGAGCGCAACCCUCACUUUUAGUUGCCAGCAUUUAGUUGGGCACUCUAGAAAGACCGCCGGUGAUAAACCGGAGGAAGGUGUGGAUGACGUCAAGUCAUCAUGCCCCUUACACCCUGGGCUACACACGUACUACAAUGCUACGGACAAAGGGCAGCAAACUCGCGAGAGCUAGCAAAUCCCAUAAACCGUGGCUCAGUUCAGAUCGUAGGCUGCAACUCGCCUACGUGAAGCAGGAAUCGCUAGUAAUCGCAGGUCAGCAUACUGCGGUGAAUACGUUCCCGGGCCUUGUACACACCGCCCGUCACACCAUGGAAGUUGG
RNAcentral lists this ribosomal RNA (1357 nucleotides) under uncultured bacterium. RNAcentral describes it as "partial 16S ribosomal RNA". It matches the Rfam family "Bacterial small subunit ribosomal RNA". The record is from RNAcentral.